GACGAACGCUGGCGGCGUGCUUAACACAUGCAAGUCGAACGGAAAGGCCCUGCUUGUGUGGGGUGCUCGAGUGGCGAACGGGUGAGUAACACGUGAGUAACCUGCCCUUGACUUUGGGAUAACUUCAGGAAACUGGGGCUAAUACCGGAUAGGAGCUCCUGCUGCAUGGUGGGGGUUGGAAAGUUUCGGCGGUUGGGGAUGGACUCGCGGCUUAUCAGCUUGUUGGUGGGGUAGUGGCUUACCAAGGCUUUGACGGGUAGCCGGCCUGAGAGGGUGACCGGCCACAUUGGGACUGAGAUACGGCCCAGACUCCUCCGGGAGGCAGCAGUGGGGAAUAUUGCACAAUGGGCGGAAGCCUGAUGCAGCAACGCCGCGUGCGGGAUGACGGCCUUCGGGUUGUAAACCGCUUUCGCCUGUGACGAAGCGUGAGUGACGGUAAUGGGUAAAGAAGCACCGGCUAACUACGUG
This 468-nucleotide ribosomal RNA is filed under the name uncultured bacterium. Its description in RNAcentral is "partial 16S ribosomal RNA". It matches the Rfam family "Bacterial small subunit ribosomal RNA", at positions 28 to 507 of the family's 1533-position model. The record is from RNAcentral.